This 154-nucleotide ribosomal RNA is filed under the name Phaeosphaeria sp. TKPB-2018. RNAcentral's name for it is "5.8S ribosomal RNA". It matches the Rfam family "5.8S ribosomal RNA". Rfam says of the family: 5.8S ribosomal RNA (5.8S rRNA) is a component of the large subunit of the eukaryotic ribosome. It is transcribed by RNA polymerase I as part of the 45S precursor that also contains 18S and 28S rRNA. Lineage: Eukaryota; Fungi; Ascomycota; Dothideomycetes; Pleosporales; Phaeosphaeriaceae. The record is from RNAcentral.
AACUUUCAACAACGGAUCUCUUGGUUCUGGCAUCGAUGAAGAACGCAGCGAAAUGCGAUAAGUAGUGUGAAUUGCAGAAUUCAGUGAAUCAUCGAAUCUUUGAACGCACAUUGCGCCCCUUGGAAUUCCAUGGGGCAUGCCUGUUCGAGCGUCA